GAUGAACGCUGGCGGCGUGCCUAAUACAUGCAAGUCGAGCGAACAGACGAGGAGCUUGCUCCUUUGACGUUAGCGGCGGACGGGUGAGUAACACGUGGGUAACCUACCUAUAAGACUGGAAUAACUCCGGGAAACCGGGGCUAAUACCGGAUAAUAUUUUGAACCGCAUGGUUCAAAAGUGAAAGACGGUUUUGCUAUCACUUAUAGAUGGAUCCGCGCCGCAUUAGCUAGUUGGUAAGGUAACGGCUUACCAAGGCAACGAUGCGUAGCCGACCUGAGAGGGUGAUCGGCCACACUGGAACUGAGACACGGUCCAGACUCCUACGGGAGGCAGCAGUAGGGAAUCUUCCGCAAUGGGCGAAAGCCUGACGGAGCAACGCCGCGUGAGUGAUGAAGGUCUUCGGAUCGUAAAACUCUGUUAUUAGGGAAGAACAAAUGUGUAAGUAACUAUGCACGUCUUGACGGUACCUAAUCAGAAAGCCACGGCUAACUACGUG
This 497-nucleotide ribosomal RNA is filed under the name uncultured bacterium. RNAcentral's name for it is "partial 16S ribosomal RNA". It matches the Rfam family "Bacterial small subunit ribosomal RNA", at positions 28 to 507 of the family's 1533-position model. The record is from RNAcentral.